UACGUAGGUGGCCAGCGUUGUCCGGAUUUAUUGGGCGUAAAGCGCGUGUAGGCGGUCCGGCAAGUCCGCUGUGAAAGUCGGGGGCUCAACCCUCGAAUGCCGGUGGAUACUGUCGGGCUAGAGUGCGGGAGAGGCGAGUGGAAUUCCUGGUGUAGCGGUGAAAUGCGCAGAUAUCAGGAGGAACACCAAUUGCGAAGGCAGCUCGCUGGAACGUAACUGACGCUGAGACGCGAAAGCGUGGGGAGCAAACAGG
This 253-nucleotide ribosomal RNA is filed under the name uncultured bacterium. Its description in RNAcentral is "partial 16S ribosomal RNA". It matches the Rfam family "Bacterial small subunit ribosomal RNA", at positions 524 to 776 of the family's 1533-position model. The record is from RNAcentral.